RNAcentral lists this small RNA (150 nucleotides) under Tumebacillus sp. RNAcentral's name for it is "c-di-AMP sequence". It matches the Rfam family "c-di-AMP riboswitch aptamer (ydaO/yuaA leader)". Rfam says of the family: This family represents a conserved RNA structure found upstream of the ydaO and yuaA genes in Bacillus subtilis and related genes in other bacteria. The ydaO/yuaA element is thought to act as a genetic "off" switch for the ydaO and yuaA genes in its native state. Lineage: Bacteria; Bacillati; Bacillota; Bacilli; Caryophanales; Alicyclobacillaceae. The record is from RNAcentral.
GUAUUUAGAUUGCUUAAUUCCUGAUAUUUAAGUCGGGAAACGGGGGAACCAACUUUGGGGCGAAUCGGCUGGCUCUGGUCACAGAGACAGCGUAGGAAACCAUCUUUCCGAGUCCGUCAGCUAACCUCGUAGGCGUAGAUGGGUCAAGGG